GGAUUAGAUACCCUGGUAGUCCACGCCGUAAACGAUGUCGACUAGCCGUUGGAGUCCUUGAGGCUUUAGUGGCGCAGCUAACGCGAUAAGUCGACCGCCUGGGGAGUACGGCCGCAAGGUUAAAACUCAAAGGAAUUGACGGGGGCUCACACAAGCGGUGGAGCAUGUGGUUUAAUUCGAAGCAACGCGAAGAACCUUACCAGGCCUUGACAUGUUUGGAUUAGCAACCUGAAAGGGUUGUGACGCUCUUCGGAGUGGAACUUACACAGGUGUUGCAUGGCUGUCGUCAGCUCGUGCCG
Molecule: ribosomal RNA, 299 nt
Filed under: uncultured bacterium
Lineage: Bacteria
Description: partial 16S ribosomal RNA
Rfam family: Bacterial small subunit ribosomal RNA
Source: RNAcentral